This 468-nucleotide ribosomal RNA is filed under the name uncultured bacterium. Its description in RNAcentral is "partial 16S ribosomal RNA". It matches the Rfam family "Bacterial small subunit ribosomal RNA", at positions 28 to 507 of the family's 1533-position model. The record is from RNAcentral.
GACGAACGCUGGCGGCGUGCUUAACACAUGCAGGUCGAACGGAAAGGCCCUGCUUUUGUGGGGUGCUCGAGUGGCGAACGGGUGAGUAACACGUGAGUAACCUGCCCUUGACUUUGGGAUAACUUCAGGAAACUGGGGCUAAUACCGGAUAGGAGCUCCUGCUGCAUGGUGGGGGUUGGAAAGUUUCGGUGGUUGGGGAUGGACUCGCGGCUUAUCAGCUUGUUGGUGGGGUAGUGGCUUACCAAGGCUUUGACGGGUAGCCGGCCUGAGAGGGUGACCGGCCACAUUGGGACUGGGAUACGGGCCGGACUCCUACGGGAGGCAGCAGUGGGGAAUGUUACACAAUAGGCGGAAGCCUGAUGCAGCGACGCCGCGUGCGGGAUGACGGCCUUCGGGUUGUAAACCGCUUUCGCCUGUGACGAAGCGUGAAUGACGGUAAUGGGUAAAGAAGCACCGGCUAACUACGUG